Molecule: ribosomal RNA, 434 nt
Filed under: uncultured Lachnospiraceae bacterium
Lineage: Bacteria; Bacillati; Bacillota; Clostridia; Lachnospirales; Lachnospiraceae
Description: partial 16S ribosomal RNA
Rfam family: Bacterial small subunit ribosomal RNA
Source: RNAcentral
ACGGAAGGCAGCAGUGGGGAAUAUUGCACAAUGGGGGAAACCCUGAUGCAGCGACGCCGCGUGAGUGAAGAAGUUAUUCGUAAUGUAGAGCUCUAUCAGCAGGGAAGAAAAUGACGGUACCUGACUAAGAAGCCCCGGCUAACUACGUGCCAGCAGCCGCGGUAAUACGUAGGGGGCAAGCGUUAUCCGGAUUUACUGGGUGUAAAGGGAGCGUAGACGGCUUAGCAAGUCUGAUGUGAAAGGCAGGGGCUCAACUCCUGGACUGCAUUGGAAACUGUUAAGCUAGAGUGCCGGAGAGGUAAGCGGAAUUCCUAGUGUAGCGGUGAAAUGCGUAGAUAUUAGGAGGAACACCAGUGGCGAAGGCGGCUUACUGGACGGUAACUGACGUUGAGGCUCGAAAGCGUGGGGAGCAAACAGGAUUAGAUACCCUGGUA